CUGGAACUUUCCACCGGAAGUGACGCCAACUAUUCUAGUUUUUUCUACCCUGGACAUUAGCCUUAGCACGUCAAGCAGGUCUGUAAAUCUGCAGCUCUGUGAUCUACGGGUUAGUGGACCAGCAUCAGCAGUGUGCUGUCAGAACCAUGGAAGUGAAGCUGCUGGGAUUGAAGCUGUUUUGCUCUGAGAGAGACUGUGGGUGAAAAGGGAGGAAAAUUGCAUGGAAAUGCUUGCUUGUCGGAGAAUACCUGGAGGAAACCCAUGCAAGCUCCACUCAGAAAGGAUCUGAGUCCUGCACACUGUAGUUUGUCUUUGGGGAUAGAGCUGCUCAUAUCCGUCCAGUUGCAAUUCCAUGUUCGGGUAAAGAAACCCGAUGGGAGGUUAGACAUUCUUAAAGAUGAACUGAGAUAUCUGGCCAAGUGAGAUUUUCCAGAAUCCCCUGAGGGCACAGCACGGUACCUCCGCCACCCCCAGCGCUUCCAGACUGCAAGUCCCAAAUACCCAGGCGCAAAAUCGCUGGAUAAUGAAUUUAAUUGAUGUGUGUAUUUGACAGGGACAAUGCACAUCAAUGACAUUUAUUUAGUAUCAUCACAUGUAUGGAAUAAGCCUGCAUUUACUCAGAAUUGAAUGAACCUGGAGAGGGGAGAGGACUCACAAGCUGCUUGACACAGGGAAUAUCCUCAAAAAGAGAACAAUUGUCCUGAUGUUUGGAAAAAUGUUGGCAAAUAUUUUUUCUUGGCAGACAUCUUACCAAUUGUUCUCUUUUAGAGGAUGUUCCACUUUUUUUCAGAGUGGUAUGCAAGUCCCUUGGGUGUUCAUCACAUCUCUGUCUGUACAGUUAUUCAGAGGCCUGCGUCACAUUCAUAGCCAGCACACACACACACACACACACAGUACACACACUGAUAACAGACAUGGCUAAUAAAUAUCUUUCUGUUUAACCUAAA
This is a long non-coding RNA of Anguilla rostrata (American eel), 947 nucleotides long. RefSeq lists it as uncharacterized. Lineage: Eukaryota; Metazoa; Chordata; Actinopteri; Anguilliformes; Anguillidae. The transcript is spliced from 3 exons. The record is from RefSeq and is a predicted model, not a curated record.